RNAcentral lists this ribosomal RNA (253 nucleotides) under uncultured bacterium. RNAcentral describes it as "partial 16S ribosomal RNA". It matches the Rfam family "Bacterial small subunit ribosomal RNA", at positions 524 to 776 of the family's 1533-position model. The record is from RNAcentral.
GACGGAGGAUGCAAGUGUUAUCCGGAAUCACUGGGCGUAAAGCGUCUGUAGGUGGUUUAAUAAGUCAACUGUUAAAUCUUGAGGCUCAACCUCAAAAUCGCAGUCGAAACUAUUAGGCUAGAGUAUAGUAGGGGUAAAGGGAAUUUCCAGUGGAGCGGUGAAAUGCGUAGAGAUUGGAAAGAACACCGAUGGCGAAGGCACUUUACUGGGCUAUUACUAACACUCAGAGACGAAAACUAGGGUAGCAAAUGGG